RNAcentral lists this long non-coding RNA (1048 nucleotides) under Anser cygnoides (Swan goose). RNAcentral describes it as "lncRNA (ENSACDG00005001562.1)". Lineage: Eukaryota; Metazoa; Chordata; Aves; Anseriformes; Anatidae. The record is from RNAcentral.
AACAUUUCACAUUCCUCUAGAUCUAUACAAGUUCUGUUAGCAGUACUACCACACUAAGCUCAAAAAUUCACCUAAAGGAUUUGAGACUUGUUAAUCAGGACUACUACUCAAGUGUCUGAAUGUCCAUAAGCACUCUGCAAUCAUUUUUUGAGGUUCUUCAGCCCUAACAUGUGGAAAGUCCCAGGGAGACAAGUGUUUUUGUUUUUCCUCCCCUUAAACAGGGGCUUGGGUUCUUGACAACAUAAUUUUCAGUGGAGCAUUUUAUUUUUUCUUGCAACCUCAUAUUUUGGUCCUCUGGUUACAUAUGUUUCUAGGAACACCCAUCCCUACAGAAUGGACUGAUCAUUCCAGUUACUGUCACUACAUGGUUUUUCAGAACAGUGAGAAGUCCAAUAAAAUAAAUAUCAACAUUGUAUUAAGAUGCUGUUGAGAUAUCUUGUUACCACUGAACUAUCUUGGAAAUUACUUCUAUCUCACCUAGGAUGGGCUUUCAAAGGCAAAGAGUUAAAAGGAUGUAUGCCUCAAUGUUUCCUUUCUAAUACAUGAGUUUAUUUUGAAGACUAACAGAUUUAUUCAAAGUUACUACAUGUAAUGCAAGAAGAAAAAAGGCUAAAAACUACUCUUUGUAUGACUGAUUGUUAAUGACCUCAGCUGAAAUCAGAAUUGUGCAAAGUACCACAGCAAACUCCAGGACGCUGAAAAGAGACCGUUCCUUGUCUAUGAAAUUCUUAUUAGUGACAUGUAUGGAAGCAGUGGUUGAUUCUGGCUGAGUAUGGAAGAUGUAUUCAUAAUUGUACUCUGUCCCUUUUAACAAGACUGUUUCAUCAUCUACAAGCACGAAAGGUUAAGUAAUGCUUUUGCUUUGAGAUCUCUUCUUAUAAUGUAAUGUACUUUUCCACAAAUAUUUUCUCAUUAUCAACAUUUUUUCCUAAUCUAAUUUUUCUGUAAUGGCUUCAGUGCUUCGUUGUAAAUACUGUGUCAGUUCCCCCCCAAAAAUUAAGUUUUUGGGAUUUCUGUAUUUAAUAAAUUUGGCAAGUAGCAAAAGACA